This 609-nucleotide ribosomal RNA is filed under the name Bacillus sp. (in: firmicutes). Its description in RNAcentral is "bacterial SSU rRNA". It matches the Rfam family "Bacterial small subunit ribosomal RNA", at positions 676 to 1285 of the family's 1533-position model. Lineage: Bacteria; Bacillati; Bacillota; Bacilli; Caryophanales; Bacillaceae. The record is from RNAcentral.
UAGCGGUGAAAUGCGUAGAGAUGUGGAGGAACACCAGUGGCGAAGGCGACUCUCUGGUCUGUAACUGACGCUGAGGAGCGAAAGCGUGGGGAGCGAACAGGAUUAGAUACCCUGGUAGUCCACGCCGUAAACGAUGAGUGCUAAGUGUUAGGGGGUUUCCGCCCCUUAGUGCUGCAGCUAACGCAUUAAGCACUCCGCCUGGGGAGUACGGUCGCAAGACUGAAACUCAAAGGAAUUGACGGGGGCCCGCACAAGCGGUGGAGCAUGUGGUUUAAUUCGAAGCAACGCGAAGAACCUUACCAGGUCUUGACAUCCUCUGACAAUCCUAGAGAUAGGACGUCCCCUUCGGGGGCAGAGUGACAGGUGGUGCAUGGUUGUCGUCAGCUCGUGUCGUGAGAUGUUGGGUUAAGUCCCGCAACGAGCGCAACCCUUGAUCUUAGUUGCCAGCAUUCAGUUGGGCACUCUAAGGUGACUGCCGGUGACAAACCGGAGGAAGGUGGGGAUGACGUCAAAUCAUCAUGCCCCUUAUGACCUGGGCUACACACGUGCUACAAUGGACAGAACAAAGGGCAGCGAAACCGCGAGGUUAAGCCAAUCCCACAAAUCUGU